GGAUGUGAGGGCGAUCAGGCUGUAACAUCUGUCACCCUGAUUGCCAGGGUUGACUUAGCUGAUCUGGCUGGCUAGGUAGUGUCCCCUUCCUCCUUCACUGCUCCUUGUGCAUCCCUCCCAAAGUUGCGCACUUGGUAGAAGAAGAUGACCAUCCCCAAUAGGGGAAGAUCUUUUCUUUAGUGAAGGCUAUACUAGUAGCUGAACUCCCCUGCUAGAACUUCCAAACAAGCUCUCAAGAAUAUACUGUUCCAGCUAACACUUCCAGUGACCCACCUGCUUCAACCAGGUCUCACCUAAUAACACAUUCAGC
This is a non-coding RNA of Fukomys damarensis (Damara mole-rat), 310 nucleotides long. Lineage: Eukaryota; Metazoa; Chordata; Mammalia; Rodentia; Bathyergidae. The record is from Rfam.